Molecule: long non-coding RNA, 957 nt
Organism: Austrofundulus limnaeus
Lineage: Eukaryota; Metazoa; Chordata; Actinopteri; Cyprinodontiformes; Rivulidae
Exons: 2
Source: RefSeq, a predicted model, not a curated record
CAUAUGGAGUGCAGAGGUGCUGAUAUGAGGAGCGGACAAUGCAUGAAAGCCCUCAGCAUGGGUCCUGUGUCUCAUUGUCCCAUGGUACCCUCCUGUCACUUUCAUUUUGCGCCUUCCCGUCCAGAGUCAGGCCAACUUUGAUACAAGGAAGGGGGCUGCGAAGGACGAUAGAGGGGAGAGAAAGGGGCAUGUUUUUAAAGAAGUAGUAGAGGAGGUAGAUGGAGUCUGUGAAGUAUAAAAUAAGUCUGUUUUUUUUUUAUUUUAUUUUAAUCGAAAAGCACAGCUCUAAAGAAAAGGAAGCCGUCCACCCUGGGAUAAAGCAGGGCACACCUUCGUGAUGCACCGUGCAGUCCUGUGACACCUGGUUAAAAAUGACAACAGCCUCGAUAAAGCUAAUGAGAGUAAUGAGAGCUUAGACACAGAGCUGCGCACAAAAGCUCAACCUUUUUUUUUCCUGAUAUUCAAGAGCCAAAAGAGGGAGAAACUCGACUCAACCCCCACAAUGGUUCUCGAGGACACACUAAACUAGACAACAGGGUUGUUGACUGAGAACCGAAUACGUAACAAAAAAAAAAAAAACAGCAAACUAUUUGAGACCCAUUUUCAGGUAAGACUGCUAUUCUGAGCUUUAAAAAGCAGUUACCAUCAUAGCAGUAUAUUCAGCUGGGGCCGCGGACGGAGGAGGAGCCUGACCCACUGAAAGAUAUCCAGAGUGACUAUUAUUACUUGCUGCUGCUCUUCUCUACAGUCUGAGAAGGAAUACUGGAAAGUGCAGUGGUUACCAUCAAUUAUUUAUCAGGCCGUUUGUGCUUGUCAGUCUGAUUAGCAUUAGUGUAAUCACUGCUCUUCGGGGGAGAAGAAAGACCGCUCUCUCUCAUCUGAAGGUUGCUCUCUCCCAGCUUGUAUAGAGUGACACCUAUGGGUCUGGUUGGGACUCUGCACUCACUGGGUUAGGGG